This 1145-nucleotide long non-coding RNA is filed under the name Marmota monax (woodchuck). Lineage: Eukaryota; Metazoa; Chordata; Mammalia; Rodentia; Sciuridae. The record is from RNAcentral.
GGCAUGGCAGCCAGUUCUGUAAGUUUUCCCACCAAGGUAGAAGGUUUAACAAGGGCUCCUUCCAGAGCCACUUGCAGGUACCAUUUCCAUUGUACUACUGUGGGUUCCAUUGGUAGUCCCUGCAAUUGUUCUCCAGGUGUUCUUAUCCACUGUAACAGUGGAACAGGUGUCUGGCCAUGUAGGCAGUGAUUCUCUACAGCAAAAUCCAGGCCUUGAAUAGCCUUGCAAAAUGUCCAGGCUGACUUUUCAAAUAAUGAGUAUCUAUUGGAUGCCUAAGGAAAGCGUUUACAGUGGAAGCCAAUGGGUCUGGUUUAACCAGUAGACUUGGCUUAUCAUCCCCAAGUCCUAUAAUCAUUACAAAAUAAAAUAUCAAUCACAAUAAUAUCUCCUGGCUUAGGGGCAUAUAGCUGGGCAUAUAUUUUAAGGUAUUCAAUCUCCAUAUGAAAUGCUUGUUUUUGAGAAUGGCCUCACAUGAAAUCAGCUGCUUUCCUGGAAAUAGAAUAUAUAGGUUGUGAGAUCAACUGUAAAAAUGGGAUAUGACGUCUCCAGUACCCAAAAGACCAACUUAAUGUUGAGCUUCGGUCUUAUUUGUGGGCUCCAUGAUCAUAGCUAGUUUAUCCUUAACCUGUUCUGGUAUGGAUGGGCCAACAGCUGUCCAUUGUACUCCCAAGAAUUUAAUAUUCUUCGUCAGGCCCUGUACUUUAUCAGGGUUAAUCGUCCAUCCACAAGAGGUUAAGUUUGGACUAAAAAUUUUGUAAAUUGAGAGACUUCAUUGUCAUGUCCAAUUAUAAUGAUAUCAUCUACAUAUGACAACACUUUGAUUUUGUUGGGUAUUUUGUCAUGAGGGAGAGUAGGCCGUAGGACAGCACGGACAAUAAUAGGGCUGUUUAUGUAACCCUGUGGCAUCCUCUUAAGCCUAUACUGUUUAGUGUUCCAGGUGAAUGUAGUAAUUUCCCUAGAGGCUUCGAGCAGGGGAAUAGUGAAAAACAUACCAGAAAGAUCUAUCACUACGAACAGGGUGAAAUUGUUUAAUCUCAUAGAAGACACCUUCCACUUCCGGUAAUGAUCCAGGCAUCUGUGGAGAGAGCUUGUUAAUAUUACGAAAAUCUACUGUAAAUCUCCAAGAACUAUUUGGUUUCUUAAGG